UUUUGGAAAUAUGUAAGAAUACAACAGUCAUGUUUUGUACUACACAUUCAGCUAUGCAUUGAAUCAUUUCUCUUUCUUUUCCUAUAUUCUAAUUACAGGAAGUUAUGAUGUGGGUCCUCAGGGCAAACUGCGCACAUUCCUCAGUUAUCCACACUGCAGGGAAUCUUUAGAUCUGGUAAAAGGCAAACACUACCUUAUCAUGGGGACAUCCAAAGAUAUUCACAGAGAUGACGAAAAUAAUUCGUUUCAGUAUGUACUCGGUGAGAGAACCUGGAUCGAGUACUGGCCCACAAAUGCAGAGUGUCAAAUUGAGGAACACAGACACACCUGUGUGGGCCUGGAGGAGAUGCAACAGCAGUAUGCACUCUUUGGAUGUGGACAGUAGACAAACUUGUGAAAGUAAAAUGUAGUUCUAAAAUUGUUUUUAUUUUGCAUAAUUCUAAUUAUGUAAAACUUUAAUUGCUGAGACAUGAGGGCAGCCAAAGUUACACAUUGAUUCAAAUAUAAUGGUCUGACUCUCAUUGUCUUUGUCUUCUAUAUAAAUGAACUUGUGGUUAAUGAAGACAUAAUGACCACUGUACUAAUGAUCUUUUGUGAGUUCAAGUAGAAGUUCAAUAAAGUUUGAUAAUGUUUAGGUCGGUGGAAGGAUUCCAACAACAA
Long non-coding RNA from Larimichthys crocea (large yellow croaker), 660 nucleotides. RefSeq lists it as uncharacterized. NCBI's taxonomy places the organism in Eukaryota, Metazoa, Chordata, Actinopteri, Sciaenidae. The transcript is spliced from 2 exons. The record is from RefSeq and is a predicted model, not a curated record.